AUUGAACGCUGGCGGCAUGCCUUACACAUGCAAGUCGAACGGUAACAGGUCUUCGGAUGCUGACGAGUGGCGAACGGGUGAGUAAUACAUCGGAACGUGCCUAGUAGUGGGGGAUAACUACUCGAAAGAGUGGCUAAUACCGCAUGAGAUCUACGGAUGAAAGCAGGGGAUCGCAAGACCUUGUGCUACUAGAGCGGCCGAUGGCAGAUUAGGUAGUUGGUGGGAUAAAAGCUUACCAAGCCGACGAUCGGUAGCUGGUCUGAGAGGACGAUGAGGCAGACUGGGACUGAGACACGGCCCAGACUCCUACGGGAGGCAGCAGUGGGGAAUUUUGGACAAGGGGCGCAAGCCUGAUCCAGCAAUGCCGCGUGCAGGAUGAAGGCCUUCGGGUUGUAAACUGCUUUUGUACGGAACGAAAAGCCCCGGGUUAAUACCCUGGGGUCAUGACGGUACCGUAAGAAUAAGCACCGGCUAACUACGUGCCAGCCGCCGCCGUAA
RNAcentral lists this ribosomal RNA (498 nucleotides) under uncultured bacterium. RNAcentral describes it as "partial 16S ribosomal RNA". It matches the Rfam family "Bacterial small subunit ribosomal RNA", at positions 30 to 523 of the family's 1533-position model. The record is from RNAcentral.